AAUUUCUUCAAAUUUGAAGCAUGACGUUAAUGGGGUACCAGCACAACUUCAUUGACUGCUACGUGGCGCUGGUGGUAACUAAGGUAUUGCAUCGCUCAUAUCACUUGAAAAAAACAUUUACCCUAGUUACGACCAAAGCUGCUUAGCAGAGGGCGAUACCUCAUCAGGAGCGCCACAAUCAUAUCAUUGGUGUGAAAGCAUUUGUAUGAAGUUUUUCAGUUCUCAAUGUGUUCAAAACCUUAAUUGUGAAAUUGUGCACUUCGAAUUCAAAUUUACGUCACUACGUUAGUUUGACAUCCAUUGAUGUCACGGUAAUUUCACUGUUAUGCUGUGCUGCUUUCAGGUUUAAUGACACGAAUGAGUACAAGUACAUUACAUUUUUCGACGAAGGCCUUCUGUAAUUUCAUACACUUCUUACGCAACAUUCAAUAGAUUUAUUUACUGUAUUAUCAUUUCGACCAAGGCGAAUUCGACACUUCAGUUACACAAGGUUAGUAACUUUUGUUCACAAAAUCCAAAUGGAGGCAAAUACAGAACAAUCAAACUUAGUCAUUCCAGUCAGUUACUGAAGCACAGUGAAAACUGUCGGGAGCAAUGCAACUGAUGGCAUGUCAAACUUCCAGUGACUGUCCCUGUCCAUAUAUUUCAAGACAGUACAAAUCUUGUAAUCAUUUUGUUUAUGCAAUGUACGUUAUUAUGUAUCAUUUCAGCACAAUCAAACUUAGUCAUUCCAGUCAGUUACUGAAGCACAGCGAAAACUGUCUGAAUUAGUGCUGCUGAUGGCAUGUAAUUACUCUACUACCACUACCAGUGACAGUCAAUGUCCAUAUAUUUUCAAGUGUGCGAAAUUAGUACUCGUCUACUUCUUAGUGUUAUUUGAAUGCAAUGUAUGUCAUAAAAAUAUUUUUUCAACACUAUAUCAACAUUCUCAUUCCUGUCAGUUUCUGAAAAUCAGCUAAAGCAAUCGCUACCAAUGCAGCUGAUAACAGCAAUUCUUUUUGUUCCCAAUGCCCAUCCAUGACAAUAUAUUUCACGCAUGUGACAAUCAUGUAAUCAUCCUGUUUUUUGUGUUCUAUUCAUGCAAUAAAUAAAUUCAGUAUUUUCAAAUCAUUGGUGCUACAAAACUAUUCUCAUUAUAUAUUAUUCAUGUUUUAUAAAAUGCUGUCAUGUCAAAUUUUGUGUCCUAUAAAUCAUUAUGAAGUCGGCAUUUUAUAUACAACUUUUGUACUCCUCCUAAAUAAACAUACAAAUCUUGUUUUAUGUAAACUUUGUAUAUGUGACCCGUCACAGCAAAACCAGGCGCAUGUCGCUCUGAGCUUGGCAGGUUGAGACGGACUGUUCUAAUCUUUCAUUAGCGACACCAUUUCUUACCCGAGUGCCUCCUUCAUUCAUACAUCUUGUACUUUAACUCAAGAUACCCAUCUUUGAAUAUUUUUAGUAUACCAAGUACUACAAUGUCAAUGUAUUGAAGUCAUGUUCUUGUAGUGUUAUUGGCUUUCUAUUAUCUUGUCAAAAUACCACUUGGUUCUCGCAAAAUCUCAAUAAAAACAAAUGCUAUUGCAUGUAUUGCAUAUUCUAACAGCUAUCCACUGUAUCGAUUUAUCCAUCAUCUGUACUAUUUGUCACAAAAAUGUUAUAUUAUAUAAAUCAUAUUUCAUUACAUAAUGCUCACUGCCAAUUACUGCUGAACCAUUCAUAUGUCAUUUAAAUAAAUAAUUUUCAACUUUUUAAAA
Molecule: long non-coding RNA, 1733 nt
Organism: Lineus longissimus
Lineage: Eukaryota; Metazoa; Nemertea; Pilidiophora; Heteronemertea; Lineidae
Exons: 2
Source: RefSeq, a predicted model, not a curated record